This 1795-nucleotide long non-coding RNA is filed under the name Carica papaya (papaya). RNAcentral's name for it is "long non-coding RNA (CPAP_LNC007109)". Lineage: Eukaryota; Viridiplantae; Streptophyta; Magnoliopsida; Brassicales; Caricaceae. The record is from RNAcentral.
UCUAUUUGGGCUGGCAAUCAUCACUCUUAAAAAUAUUAUCCUUUAGGUUUUUUUUAACUGGUAAAAGAUGUCCGCUUUGACUGUCAUAUUAAUUGUCUGCAUGUUAGUAACUUAGCAAUGAGCUUUUUCGGAAGUGCUUGCCUCUAUUGUAGUUUCGGAAAGAAGGCUAUUUCUUCAGAGAAUUAAAGUUUCCAAUUAGCCUGUUUUGUGGCUUCCUUACAAUUGUGUCCCCCUGGUCAAUUAAUUGCAUGAUUCUUUUCCAAGUAUAAAUUGACAGUUUACUUUUUACUUUCAAGAUCUGGGAAAUAAAGCUUACAUUUCUUUGGGCUAUAACUUUGUUGAAUGGUUAUCUUUGUGACUGGCUUAUGUCGGAUGUUAUAAUCACUUCCUGUAAAUAUCUUGCUGAAUCUUUGAAGUCAGAUGUAUUUGUAUUUUCUUGAAAUGCUUAUUUGCUAUCUUAUAUUUCUCUUCUCAAUUAGCAUUUAUUUUACCAUGUGAUCUAUUUUUACAGUAUUAUCUUGAGGGUAAGUAUUUCAAAGGUACUGUGGUAUUUAUUUUCUUUUCUGGUAACUAUUUUAUGUCAUAUCAAGUUGAAGGAUGAAUUGAUCUCAUUUGAAGUUAAUGUCUUUAUGCCUUUUAUAUCCAUAUAUACCUUGUGUGACAUCCCUAGCUUUAAAGGUGCUUACAGGUACAUGCUCUGCUACUCUAUUGAGAGGUAGGAUAUGCUGUGGGUCUUUGCUGCUUGCUCUACCUACCUUGUAGCAUGAAUGUUAGUAACUUCUGUCAUUUGUAUUAUUUGUUGAUUUUUAUGAUUUAGUUACCAUAAGUUUUUAAAUAUUGAUUCUUUUGGAAGAACUGAGCAGAUUGCUUCUCUCUUUUUUUUUCAAGAAAAAUUUUCUCAUUAUUUCUAUAAGAUUCCUUCUCGUCACGCAAAAGAAAAUCUUAUUACCUUGACCAUUGCAUGCACAACUCUAUUUGGUCUGAGUUUCUUGUACCAAUUUUUCUACCUAGUUCCAAUCCAUGCUUUGACCAUGAGUUUGAUGGUAUUGUCAGAGAUAUGAAACUUAUAGAUCUAAGUGGACAUAAGAGCAAAUUCAACUCCACUUUUGAUCUUUUCCAUCUGUUCCCACUUGAUAUAAUUGUAUUCCUUCUUUUGCAAUAUACUUUUGAUGUAAGAGAGGGGUUCGUUAUAUGUGAAGAUAGUUCAGAUAUGAGAAUGUGGUGAAAUCAUCUGGUAAACAAAUGUGGAAAUGCUGGUUUUCAUUAAUGCAUUAUGUGUUGUGGACCCUGAUUGCACUGAGGCCUGUGCACUGAGGACAAGGGGUGUCUGUCAGAAGAUACUGCAAGUAACAAUAAACCAAAUGUUUGUCUGAAAAGUUUGUCUUUGGCGGGUAACUGAUUCUGUCAGAUAACCAGGUUGGAGCUAAAACUAGGUUGUGCUAGUUCCCAGGCACAUGUCUGUUUAGGAGCUAAUGUUGGUGGUGCUGGCAGCAUAUAAUCUGGAGCUAAAACUAGGUUGUGCUAGUUCCCAGGCACAUGUCUGUUUAGGAGCUAAUGUUGGUGGUGCUGGCAGCAUAUAAUCUGAAUAGUGAUUUGAUUGAUUGGAAGAUAAUAACUGAGAUCUUGCUUAGAACUUGCAGCUUUCUGUAUCUGAUUUAGUUGUUCAGUCUUGAAAUGUUUUCUAAACUGUAAUAUGUUUCUACAGGAAAUCUGAAUUAGGCUUGGGGGUUAGGCAACAUAUUAGUUCGCUUUGCUAGGUCUCUCAUUUGGUCAAUGGGAGACUGGUUUGUGCAAC